CCACUCUUGAACUCUCAACGUCGAGACCCGUUUCCUCGACCCGGAAACCUGCGCCGGCAACCCGAUUCCGUCUCCAUCUUCCGGCCACGACACAUCGGCAAACCGACCCCUUUCUAUUCGUCUCCUCAAAUCCGGCGCCCUUCUGAUCACGGAUCGUCCAUUCGACAACGGAAGGCGACAAAACGAGGUUGAGAAACCGCUGCAACUCCGGUAAUUUUCCGGCUACUCCGGUCACCAUUGUUGAUGCAUGAGGUAUGAAACGUGAUCUUCUCUUCGUACUCUACAUGUUGGUAUGAAUGGAUUUUGGAAUUGAUCGAGUUUGUUGGAUUGGUGUUUUGGGUGUCGUCGGUUGAUGUCGAGGCUACUGUUCCGGCAGAGUGUUCCAGAGUUCUUUGAUUCAAUUUUGAUGAUAAUUCUGGUCCUAGAACGAGCAUCGAGAUGUGGGUUGCAUUGAAAUUCAGAAUUGGUGUGGUGGAGCACAGUCGGGUAGCAGAACAAAGAGUUCGAAAAUCUGUGAAGUUUGAUAGUGAAAAGUCUGGUUUUGUUCGUACUGGAACAAGACAUAGACAUGCAAAGGGAGAGCGAUUCAGAAGCUUGCCAGAGUUGGUAAUUGGGUUCGAGUAUUCCUCGAUCAAUUCUUAAUAGCAUAUGAUUUCAACUUGGAGGUUUUAAAGACGAAUUGUAUAAUUGGACGAGGGCUGUCCAAGUUCAUUUUGAGUUCCACGGUGAAGAACGGGAGUGAUGGCGAAAUGUAUAAAGGAUGCAGAACCUCGGUGGGCUAAGAACUCCAACAAUUGCAAUGGAAAAAGUAUUCAUGGGACUCCAGUUACUCGGAACAUGAAAGAUGGUGGUGUUGGCCUAAAAGAGCGAAUGGAAUCAAAGCUACGAUAUUCCAGGUAGGGGAUUCUGGACUCGCCUCAGUUAGAAAUUUUUAUGCAUGGAUUUUAUGGAAAUUAAUGAUGCAUGAAAAAGAAUUUGGUCUUUAUUUCAUUUUCUAUGAGCUAUUGUUUGAUGACCUGAGAGUGAGAGGACCAUAGCGACUUCCUUGGGCUUCGAUCCCCUAAACCUCCGGAGGGGCUGUAUGGACUGAAGAGUGUAUGACAUCCGUUGAGGUGUGGCACUGCUUCUAGGUGAUACGGUUUAAGUGGACACUCUCGCUACACAUUGCCGGUGUAAACGAUAUUAAUCGUGGUAAGGUUGUAGUUGGCAUAGCGAUCGGUCAUCAGGUCUGUUUCAUUCUUUUGGGCCCUAUUAUAUUUUUAUAAACGAACUACGGUUUGUGGUUUCGAACAUCUUUAUCUAUAUGCAUUGUUUCUCACUUACUUUGCCGGCAUCUAUAUUUUAAAUUAUUUUCACACCUAGUUGGGGUAGAGUCUUAUUGAGCAGCAAGGACGAAAGCUCACCCCUACAACAGUUUGUGGAUGCAGGUACUGUGUACGAAGACGGGACAGUUGGAUGAUGCUAAUUGUGGCUUAGUUACCUUGUACUUUAAAUGGUCAUCGACGGAGUUAGAUCUGCAUGACAAGUUCUCUUAUUUCUUUUACUUUCGUGUAACUCGUUUACCGAGGUUGUGAUUAUUUGUAAAAUACAUUUUUCGUAUUUUUUUGGGACUUUGGCCUUGAACCGGACGAACAUUCGAUAAUUGUUUUGAAAUGACUUGUAUUUUUUUUCUUUAAAGGAUUUCUGAUGGUUUUAUAGUUUUCACCUCACUUAAACAACU
Rosa chinensis is the source of this 1720-nucleotide long non-coding RNA. RefSeq lists it as uncharacterized. Lineage: Eukaryota; Viridiplantae; Streptophyta; Magnoliopsida; Rosales; Rosaceae. The record is from RefSeq and is a predicted model, not a curated record. The transcript is spliced from 3 exons.